CAGCCGCCGCGGUAAUACCGGCGGCCCGAGUGGCGGUCACUAUUAUUGGGCUUAAAGCGUCCGUAGCCGGGUUGGGAAGUCCUCCGGGAAAUCUGGCCGCUUAACGGUCAGAAUGCCGGAGGAUACUCCCAGCCUAGGGAGCGGGGGAGGCCGAGGGUAUUCCCGGAGUAGGGGGGAAAUCCUAUAAUCCCGGGAGGACCACCUGUGGCGAAGGCGCUCGGCUGGAACGCGUCCGACGGUGAGGGACGAAGGCCAGGGGAGCAAACCGGAUUAGAUACCCGGGUAGUCCUGGCUGUAAACGAUGCGGACUUUGUGUCGGACAAGCUAUGAGCUUGUCCGGUGCCGGAGGGAAACCGUUAAGUCCGCCGCCUGGGGAGUACGGCCGCAAGGCUGAAACUUAAAGGAAUUGGCGGG
Molecule: ribosomal RNA, 414 nt
Filed under: uncultured microorganism
Description: bacterial SSU rRNA
Rfam family: Archaeal small subunit ribosomal RNA
Source: RNAcentral